RNAcentral lists this ribosomal RNA (224 nucleotides) under uncultured soil bacterium. RNAcentral's name for it is "partial 16S ribosomal RNA". It matches the Rfam family "Bacterial small subunit ribosomal RNA", at positions 26 to 274 of the family's 1533-position model. The record is from RNAcentral.
AGAGCGAACGCUGGCGGCAGGCCUAACACAUGCAAGUCGAACGGACCCUUCGGGGUUAGUGGCGGACGGGUGAGUAACACGUGGGAACGUGCCUUUAGGUUCGGAAUAGCUCCUGGAAACGGGUGGUAAUGCCGAAUGUGCCCUUCGGGGGAAAGAUUUAUCGCCUUUAGAGCGGCCCGCGUCUGAUUAGCUUAGUUGGUGAGGUAAAGUCGUCUACCAACGGA